Molecule: ribosomal RNA, 253 nt
Filed under: uncultured bacterium
Lineage: Bacteria
Description: partial 16S ribosomal RNA
Rfam family: Bacterial small subunit ribosomal RNA
Source: RNAcentral
UACAUGGGGUGCAAACGUUGCUCGGAACUAUUGGGCGUAAAGCGCACGUAGGCGGUUUGUUAAGUCGGAUGUGAAAUCCCUCGGCUCAACUGAGGAAGUGCAUCCGAAACUGGCAAGCUUGAGUACGAAAGAGGGUCGCGGAAUUCCCGGUGUAGAGGUGAAAUUCGUAGAUAUCGGGAGGAACACCGGUGGCGAAGGCGGCGACCUGGGUCGGUACUGACGCUGAGGUGCGAAAGCGUGGGGAGCAAACAGG